AUUGAACGCUGGCGGCAGGCCUAACACAUGCAAGUCGAGCGGAUGAAGGGAGCUUGCUCCUGGAUUCAGCGGCGGACGGGUGAGUAAUGCCUAGGAAUCUGCCUGGUAGUGGGGGAUAACGUCCGGAAACGGGCGCUAAUACCGCAUACGUCCUGAGGGAGAAAGUGGGGGAUCUUCGGACCUCACGCUAUCAGAUGAGCCUAGGUCGGAUUAGCUAGUUGGUGGGGUAAAGGCCUACCAAGGCGACGAUCCGUAACUGGUCUGAGAGGAUGAUCAGUCACACUGGAACUGAGACACGGUCCAGACUCCUACGGGAGGCAGCAGUGGGGAAUAUUGGACAAUGGGCGAAAGCCUGAUCCAGCCAUGCCGCGUGUGUGAAGAAGGUCUUCGGAUUGUAAAGCUCUGUAAGUUGGGAGGAAGGGCAGUAAGUUAAUACCUGGCUGUCUUGACGUUACCAACAGAAUAAGCACCGGCUAACUUCGUG
Molecule: ribosomal RNA, 484 nt
Filed under: uncultured bacterium
Lineage: Bacteria
Description: partial 16S ribosomal RNA
Rfam family: Bacterial small subunit ribosomal RNA
Source: RNAcentral